AAGGUGGGGACGACGUCAAGUCAUCAUGGCCCUUACGCCUAGGGCUACACACGUACUACAAUGGCGCAUACAAAGGGCAGCGAUACCGCGAGGUGGAGCCAAUCCCAAAAAGUGCGUCCCAGUCCGGAUUGCAGUCUGCAACUCGACUGCAUGAAGUUGGAAUCGCUAGUAAUUCGAGAUCAGCAUGCUCGGGUGAAUGCGUUCCCGGGCCUUGUACACACCGCCCGUCACACCACGAAAGUUGGUUUUACCCGACACCGGUGAGCUAACCAGCAAUGGAGGCAGCCGCCUACGGUAGGGCCGAUGAUUGGGGUGAAGUCGUAACAAGG
Molecule: ribosomal RNA, 329 nt
Filed under: uncultured bacterium
Lineage: Bacteria
Description: bacterial SSU rRNA
Rfam family: Bacterial small subunit ribosomal RNA
Source: RNAcentral